GACGAACGCUGGCGGCGUGCUUAACACAUGCAAGUCGAACGGAAAGGCCCUGCUUUUGUGGGGUGCUCGAGUGGCGAACGGGUGAGUAACACGUGAGUAACCUGCCCUUGACUUUGGGAUAACUUCAGGAAACUGGGGCUAAUACCGGAUAGGAGCUCCUGCUGCAUGGUGGGGGUUGGAAAGUUUCGGCGGUUGGGGAUGGACUCGCGGCUUAUCAGCUUGUUGGUGGGGUAGUGGCUUACCAAGGCUUUGACGGGUAGCCGGCCUGAGAGGGUGACCGGCCACAUUGGGCCUGAGAUACGGCCCAGACUCCUACGGGAGGCAGCAGUGGGGAAUAUUGCACAAUGGGCGGAAGCCUGAUGCAGCAACGCCGCGUGCGGGAUGACGGCCUUCGGGUUGUAAACCGCUUUCGCCGGUGACGAAGCGUGAGUGACGGUAAUGGGUAAAGAAGCACCGGCUAACUACGUG
Molecule: ribosomal RNA, 468 nt
Filed under: uncultured bacterium
Lineage: Bacteria
Description: partial 16S ribosomal RNA
Rfam family: Bacterial small subunit ribosomal RNA
Source: RNAcentral